CGAGUUGACGGCUUGGGGCCACAUCGUGGGAUGGGAGAGUGGCUGUGAUGGCAGUGAUGAGUCAUGAGCUUAUGGUCGGGAGUCCAGACCCUGUCCCUUGAUUAGCUGUGUGACCUUUCAUAUGUCACAUAAUCCCUGUGGGGGUUGGGCUUCACAGCCAUUAAAUGGGUUUAAUACCCAGGAACCUGACUACCUUGAGGUGGUCAUAGGUCAGGCCUGCAGCUCCAGACUUGGGGUGUUCUGCUUGGGCAGCCACCAGGGAAGACUACUUGGGGAGAAGGAGGCAGUGCCUUGGGGUUAAGAAGAUGGUGCUCCUCCCUCAGGGUAACGGGAGGGGGAGUUCUUGAAUGUCCUGGGGUAUCCAGGUCAGGAGAGAAGAGGACACGACCUGAGCCUCAGCAGGUAGUGGUGAGUUUCAGGCUGCUGAGGCUGUGGCAGAGGGAGUGUUCCGUUCUCUGCCCCACCCCUUUGAAAUACCAGGAGCAGAGCUGACACAGGCUGAAAGGGAAACUCCUAGUUGUGAUGCAGCCAAGAGCCUGUCAGCUUCUGUAGGGGAUUUUCCUUACCCUGAGUGUAUAGAGAGGUGAUGACCACUAGCAGCUGAGAAACCAUAUAGCCGCCUGCGCAGGUGUCUGCAGCACUGAAGCCUACAUUUCUGAAGCACAUGGCUCUGUCUUGGAUGAUUCUAGAAAACCCACUCAUCUGAAGGGGAUCCGAGAGCCUGUGCCUCAUCCUGGAAUCCUGGCCAAGUUACUCUCUAUCACACCAGGCUUGUGUAACAUAACCCUGCAGUGCAGAGCUCCAGGGGCCACCGAGGACCUGAAAGUGACCUGGGAGAGCAAGGGCCUCCUCAGAGAGCUGGAGCAGAGAGAAACACCAAGACCCGCCCUGAACCCCUGGACCCUGGCUGUGAGCCUGCCCCUGUGCCAGUGCAACACCCACCUCACCUGUGUGGUCAGCAACCAGGUGGAUAAGAAAGCUGCAAUCUUAGAUCUUAGGGAAGUGUGUGUCCAAGAAACAGAUCCACACAAACAGGACACGGUUAGACUGCUGCCAGGCCUCCUAGGGGAUGUUGUGGGUGUGAUGUUGGUCCUGGGAACUGGGCUGUAUCUUUUGAAGACAUGUAAGAAGAAAAAGAAGAUGAAGAUAAGAAGAGGUGGAGAACUGCAGGAGAACCAUGGGGUGGAUGAUGAUGCCAACCACUAUGAAGAUCUCAGGCUGCCAGUGUCUCAGAAGGACAAGGACAAGGGCAUUGGUGAACAAUAUCUGGAAAAAGAGGAGCCGCUCACUGCUGUCUACAGUGAGGUUCAUUAUCACUGUCCAGGCACGGCCAUUAAGAUCAUUCGAAUGGAGGAAGCAAAAGGAUCUGGCACUCCCAGGACACCUACACUCUGAGCCUGAAGCCUGCACACCUCUGCCUUUCUUAGUGCUGGUCCAGUUUGAGCUGCCCCUUGUCUGUACGCUGAUCUCACAGCCAUAGUUCUACAGUGUACCCAUGACCUGUUCACAUUCUGAGACACCUCCCCAAGAUGCACUCACAGUUGGGCAAAGAUUCUUUCCCUAUCAUUGACAUGGUUCCUGACCCCUCUCCUCCAAGAACCUUCCCAAGGGGGCCCUGUCUGACUGAGCAGGUGGAAAAUCCCAGCCACCUCUGCCGUGUCACUGGUGUGUGUACUUCUGAGGACACAAGCCCAGGCGUGGGAACGGUGCAGAGAGGAGGGAGGUAGGACUUGGCUUCUGGAUGCUGAGUUGGAGGACAGCAUGGGUGGGUAGGAGCCCACAAAGGAACAGGCUGAGGCUUUCUCUGCAGAUUUUAUAUAGGGCUCCCUUGGGGGCAUCAGGCAGUGUGUGUGUACAUGAAUGUUGGGGCAGGUGUCUAGUACAUAUGAUACAACUGAACUAAAGCCACCUUUCUUUUCUCCUGUGCUAAUCUGAACCUAAUCUUCAGUCUUAGCCUGUGGAUCCAAACUCAACUUCCUAUAGAGUAGAAAGAGAAAUUUGUGUUAUCUCAAAAGCUUCCUAGCCUCUGUGUCUCAGAGAAUGACCCUAACAGGCCACAGUUUGGGGUUGUCUUAGGAAAACAGCUUCAGCUCUUUCCUUUGCCUAGGAUAGAGCACUUAGCUAUAAGAACAGAGCUGUGGUAUUCUUCCACGCCCCCUUGGAGAGGACUACUUGGGCUCUGAUGGGUGAAGCUGUUGAGAAGGUCUGACCCAGCCCUCUCCAGCCUCUUCUUAUUCUGACCCUCCGUGCCCCAGUAGCUAUGCUGGCCCCAAACCCUAGGUCAUCCACUUCUUUGCUAACUUGCAUCCCUCUGCCCGAAAUGAAAUUUCCCUCUCCCUGUUUCUCACCCUCACUCCCACCUGCUGAAAUCCACUGUGCUACUCAAAGCCCUUCCCAAGAUGCUUGUUCCAUGGAACUCUGGAUCUCAAAGGUUUAAACAUGAUCUCUUCCCACAUCUGACUUUUCUGAACACCUUGGACACUAUGUAGGAUCCCUGCCACAGUUUGUCCUGGGAUGAUCAUGAGUCUUCCUGCAGGGCUAACCUGGGCUCUCUCAGGAGGAUGUGGGGCUGUGGGAGAAGAGGGCUGAGGAGACAAGCACUUCUUGGAGCAAAGGGUCUGGGCCAACCUUUUCCCAUCCCAUGGGGUCAGCAGAGGGAGAUGCAGCACAAGAGCUGCUGACAGACUCUCUGGCGUGGCUCUACCUGGAAACGGAUGGACACAAUGACCUCCUUGACUAUACUCAGCCUGAGGUCCUAAUUGGAGACUUCCUUACUCCCUUAUCCACCACUUAUUGUGAACCCGGCCAUGCUUCCACCACAGUAUGUGAGUGUUUCUUCCCUCCUGAGGGGUCUUCAGCUUCUUGCAGCCUCUGCCUCCUGUUUGAGUCCCGGCUUUUAUGCAGAGCUAGGCUAACUCUAGCGCCACAAGGUGCUGUGGCACGUCUGGUGGCCUAGAUCCUUGGGUCUCUUAGUUUCCCCCACGGCUCAGGUGAACUCAUUUCCUCAUUGCCACCCACAGAAAACAAAGAUCUGAACAGAGUCCCUGCUAAGAGAUUGAGCACUAGGACAUAAUGCUAGGUGCCUGCCGGACGGUGGACGAGUGAGGCAGGAGGGAGAGGAGCCAUAGUAGGGCUUCAUUUUUGCCAUCUUCCAGUUUAGGCUGAGCGUAAAGCUGACAGUGCCAGUCUCCUCACUGGCUUCCCAGGUGGCUGGACUUGACGAGGUAUCAGUGCACGUUAGCCCUGGGGCAGCGGAAGAUGUGAUCAUCCAACAGACCUUCCCACCUCAUCGAAGGCACAAACAAACAAACACAAAAGAAGAACAAGGCUUUUCAGGCUGUUUUGAACCAGUUUUUGUCCCAGGCACUUUGCAAAUAUUAUUCUUUUUAAUUAUUUUUAAAUACAUUUUUAAUUUUAAAAUGCUAAAUGUUUUGCUCUUCUUAUGAUUUCUUCCAAUGAUAUCAAACUUAAAAGUCCUCUGCAUUCCAAGGAUCCAGUAAAUGUUUUUAUAUUUUCUUCUCGUUUAAAACAUGACGUUAUACACAUUUCACUCAUAUUAUCCUUCUAAUUCUAAGAACCUGCUAGAGUUGAUAUUGACCAACAGCAUUCAUAACUAGUUGGUGGCAAAGCAAAGCCUGAGAUCCACCCCUGGCUGAUUCCAG
RNAcentral lists this long non-coding RNA (3662 nucleotides) under Callithrix jacchus (white-tufted-ear marmoset). RNAcentral's name for it is "lncRNA (ENSCJAG00000049015.3)". The record is from RNAcentral. Lineage: Eukaryota; Metazoa; Chordata; Mammalia; Primates; Cebidae.